CACUGUAAAAUGUAAUUGCUGAGCUUACAAUUAAGUAAUUCCAACUUUUUCCCCACACAAAGUGCUUAAACUCAACUUCUUCAUUUAGCCUGCACAGAAUUCUUGUUUUUCUGUCAUUUGCGUCAACAUCUGAAAAUUAAUGAAAUGGUUCAGUGCCCAUACAAAGACAGCGAUUUUGAAAUUUUGUUCUCUUUACGUAGAUUAUUGCUGAUUUCAACCGGAUCACAAGCAAAAACCUCAAGCAAGAAUUUUUCUCAGCCCUUGAUAAACAUACAUCUCGUUUUCUGGAAGUUUUCGAUUCAAAGAAAGGCACAGCUGAAAAAAAGUCUGCAAACAUCACUGAUGUCACUGCUCCACAGACAGCAGUUCUCUGUGGCUUUGCUGUCCUUCUUGUGGAAGACACUACAGACUUCUUCAAAACAUGCUUUGUCUGUGAUAUAGUUGAACCUCAAGAAUCAAAGGGAAUUCUCACUGUGAUGCCAGAGGACAGCCCGAUGUCUCCACAAGGUUUGCCAGGAGGUCACUGAUACAGCAAUCAUUUUGGAGGGUCUUAUGGAUGGACUUUAGAAUGUUCAACAAGAUGUAUUAACAAAGAUUUAGUCUUGUGUCUAUUGCAGGUGUUAUAUCUAGGUUGAUGGGUGACAAAUCCCUAUACCCAGAACAAAAAUGUCUGUUUUAAGUGAAAGUGAAGUGACAUUCAGCCAAGUAUGGUGACCCAUACUCAGAAUUUGUGC
This is a long non-coding RNA of Carassius auratus (goldfish), 734 nucleotides long. RefSeq lists it as uncharacterized. NCBI's taxonomy places the organism in Eukaryota, Metazoa, Chordata, Actinopteri, Cypriniformes, Cyprinidae. The record is from RefSeq and is a predicted model, not a curated record. The transcript has 3 exons.